Molecule: long non-coding RNA, 1201 nt
Organism: Helianthus annuus (common sunflower)
Lineage: Eukaryota; Viridiplantae; Streptophyta; Magnoliopsida; Asterales; Asteraceae
Exons: 2
Source: RefSeq, a predicted model, not a curated record
UAAAAAAUAACCCGGUAAAUAUUUGGGAUUUAAUAAGAAAUCCUAAUAUUAAAUACAAGCGAAACAAAGUUUUAAGGAAUUGAGUUUAUAAGAGACCGAGUUAACGGGAUUUAAAACACUACGGAUUAUAAUUCCCGGAACCCAUCAAGUUAACUAGGUAAAAUUAACCUAGUUAGUAGAGGGUAAUUAAAUAAUAAACUAUGAGUUAUGGUUUCAUAUAUGAAUCUUUAAACUUGAGGGACUAAACAUGGGCAAUUAGAAUAGUGUUUUAUUAAAACACUUAAAAAAAAUAAUAGAACUCAAUACACACACAUACGUAUGCGACCAGAGGAAAGCUCCAUGGGAGCUCAAACCCUAACUUCAACAAAUCAACAAAAUUGAAGGAUCAAACCAAGUUCAAAUCGAAAAUGGAGCAUAGAUUACUGAUCCUCAUCACAAGAGGAUCACAAGUUUGACGCGUAACAAGCUAGGUGGAAGCUUGGAGUGAAAGCGGGUCAAACAAGUCAAGCAUGGAAGAAAAGCGUAGCUCGGAUGCAAGGUAAGUGAAACUUACAUAAUUGUGUAGAUUACUUAUUUCAUUCUAUACGUUAUAGAUGCAAUAAUGCUAAUAUUGAAAAUAUGGAUUUCCGACGUGAUUGAUACGAGUCGGAACAUAUAAAGAUGAUAAAAACCAUGUUUAUGGCAAAAAGGGGAUUCGGUAAUGAAAUCCGGGACGGGAUGGAUGUAUGGAUUAGAAGUCAAAAACCAUGUUUUUUAUUUAAUAGGCAACGUUGGGCAUAUAGGCCGAACGGGUCAAAUGGUGGUGAUAACACUAUUUGACAAUAUCGACUAAUGCGAUUGUCAAGUCUUGUGUUAACAGGAGCGAUUAGCGAUUCAGUUAAUUUCGCCCACACUAAGUAUGAUGAUAAAAGCAAGGUAUAAAUUGGGUCUAUAUGUUGACCCUAGCCAGGUACGUAUGCAUACGAUUAAAGUUAACAUACAAACUUGGUCAUAUAGGUAGUGAAAGCCCCUCGUAGUAAAUGAGGGGCUAAUGUCGACUAAAAUGCCCUUGAAGGGUAAAUUGAGCGAACAACUUAUAAAGUUUGUUUAGGAACUUAUCUUACGAUCUUGUAACCUUUAGACGCACAUGAAAGUUGUAGACAUAAACUUUCAAGAGUUAAAUGCUUAAAUUGUGUGUUGCCGCAAAAAUAACAUAUCCGUA